AGCUUUUUCUCCGACUCCAUUUACUGGCUAUUUGUAGAAAGCCAUUAUUUGGUGUAUUUAAAAACAUUAAGAAUAGGGCAAGGCAAGGAAGAGGAAAGAUGUUAGGAUAAAGGAAAAUUUCCCACAGGCAUUACUAAGAAUUCAUUCUGCAGAAGAAGUCCUUCUCAAUUGCUUCUUGCUCAUGGAAAUUUUUUCACCUACCUUGCCAAGGCCUUGAUACUGAUAUCUGGGAGGUAUUAAGCAAUUCAGAAAGUUUAUUCAUCAACUUCGAUUCAUCUUAAUUAAUGAAAAAGCAGAGAAAUUAAAGUUGUGUCCCUCCUCUCUCAAAAGUUCAGGAUUUGUAAUGCUAAUGGCUUGCUCCCCACUUAGAGUAAACACAUUAGUCAAAUUUGAUAUACUGACUCAUAAGUCACACAUUAGGGCCAAACGUGUUCUGUUAUGAGAAAUUAAGACUCCCUCUUGACACAUAACUUGGCUCUGAAUUUGAACCAGAUAAACAACAUCCCUGUUUGCUGCAUUUGGAAAGUAAAUUGAAAUAUAUAGGCAAUGGUGAUGUCUUUAUCUUUCACAGAUAUCACUGGAUUCAGGGCAAGAAGCCUUGUGUUUUGGGGGCUCCUCUUUGAAAUCCAUGCCCUUCCUUAGGGCUUCUGACCCAAUAUGUUUAAAUUUGAGAUUGAGGUAAAUUUGAAUGGCUCUGGCUGUUGCAAGGAAGCAAGAGAAAGGAGUGGAGUUGGCCUUACAGAGGUAGCUCCUGGUUCAGUGUGAGGAGCAGCCUCAUUGCAUGGGAUUGAAUCUGAACUUGAACACCUCAGAGACUGCCCCAGUCUAGCCAUUGGAACCAAAGCAUAAGAGCCAGGACGAAUGCACUACCCGUGAUCUGCAAUCGUAUUAUUUUGGAAGAUUCACCCGGAGCUAACAUCUGUGCCAAUCUUCCUCUACUUUGUAUGUGGGAUGCCUCCACAGCAUGGCUGAUGAGUGGAGCAAGUUCACACUGAGGAUCUGAACUUGCAAACCUGGGCUGCCGAAGUGGAGCAUAAAGAAAUUUAACCAGUCAGCCACGGGGCUGGCCCCCUGGAUUGAGUAUUUUUUAACUUCCAUUUUACUUAUUUCCAUUAUUGGAUUAUUACUUUUACUGCUUUUUAAAAAUGUUUGAUCUCAUGUGCUAGCAUUGGCAGUAUACAUCUCUAAUUACUUGCAUUCUAUCUUCACAUAAUAGGUAGGUUGAAGACUCAUAACAGUAUACUUCCAAUUCCACCUUUCCUGCCUUUGAGCUAUUGUUGCUAUAGAUUUUACUUUUAUAUAGUGUAUAAAGGCAUGAUAAAUUUGUGCUAUUUUUGCUUUAGACAAUUUUCUAUUAGUGUCAUUAAAAAUAAAAAAACUCUUUUGUGUUUACUUUCAUUUUAACCAUUUCUAGAGAUCUUUAAUGCUCUGUAUAAAUCUAAGCUUGUGUCUUAUAUCAUAUUCUUUCUGCCUGAAGAACUUCCUUUUACACUUUAUAGUGCAUGUGUACUGGUAAUGAAUUCUUUCAUCUUUUCUUUGUCUGAAAAAGAUGUUAAUUUGCCUCAUUUUUGAAGGAUAUUUUUGUUGUGUAUAGAAUUCUCAGUUGCAAUUUUUUUCUUUCAACAUGUCUUCUUAUUCUCAUACUUUCUGAUGAGAAAUCUGUUGUCAGUUUUACCUUCAUUCCUCUAUAUGUAAUGUGCCCUUUUUCUCUGGUUGUUUUUAAUAUUUUCUUUCUCUCUCUCUUUUUUUUUUUUUUUUUCUUUUCACUGCCUUGUAUAUAUGUCUAUUUUUUUUUAAUUAUUUAUCCUGCUUGGGAAUCUCUGAGCUUCUGGAAUAUGUGCAUUUGAUGUGCUUCAUUAUUUUUGGAAAAUCGUUAACCAUCAUCCUUCAAAUAUUUAUUCUGUCUAUUCUCUCUCUUAACUUCUUCUAGAUUUCAGUUGGUGUAUGUUAGACCAUUUGAUAUCAUCUUAUAGCCCUUGGAUGCUCUCAUCUGUUUCAUUCAGUCUCUGUCUCUUUGUAUUUCAGUUUAGGUAAUUUCUAUUGACCUAUCAUUAAGGUUGCAGAUUGUUUUAUUUAGCUGUAUCAUGUCUAUUAAAGUAAAAGUUGAGGGCAUUCUUCUUUUGUUUCUGUGUAUUUGUUUCUAGCAUUGUCAUUUGACCCUUUCUUAUAGUUUUCAUAUCUCCACUGAAAUUCAAUAUCUGUUCAUGCAUGUUGACCUCCGAUCCUGCUAGAGCCUUUCACAUGUUUGUUAUAGUGAUUUUAAAUUUACUAUAUGGUGGCUCAACAUAUGGGUCAUCUCUGGAUCUAUCAGUUGCUUUUUCUCUCGUCAGUAGGUUGUUUUGUUCUUGCUUUUUUGUAUUUUUCAUUGAAUAGUGAGUAUCAUGUGUAGAACAGUAGAGAGUGAGAUAACUACUAUUUCUGCUUGGAAAUGGGUCUACCUGUCUUCUGCUAGGCUGUUAUUGUGGGGUGUUAGGUCAGUCUAUUCAGAAGUGAGCAGGGUUUGGGUUUUGCUGUUGCUGUGGGUUCAUUCACUAUAUCCCCGGCUUCAAAUUCCUCUAGCAUUACCUCCUGUUUGGGGUGGGGUCUUGUUUGCCAUUGGUUUUUUUUGUUGUUGUUGUUAAGGAAGAUUGGCCCUGAGCUACCAUCUCUUCCCUAUCUUCCUCUUUUUGCUUGAGGAAGAUUGUCCCUAAGCUAACAUCUGUGCCAGUCUUCCUCUAUUUUAGGAGUGGGAUGCUGCCACAGCAUGGCUUGAUGAAUGGUGUGUAGGUCUACACUCAGGAUCUGAACCUGUGAACACCAGGCCACCAAAGUGGAGCAUGUAAACUUAACCACUACACUACCAGGCUUGCCUUUGCCAUUGGAUUUUCUUAAUGUUUCUGCUCCAUCUUGAGCAACAGACCUUCCCU
RNAcentral lists this long non-coding RNA (2906 nucleotides) under Equus caballus (horse). RNAcentral describes it as "lncRNA (ENSECAG00000055174.1)". The record is from RNAcentral. Lineage: Eukaryota; Metazoa; Chordata; Mammalia; Perissodactyla; Equidae.